GCUGGAGGUAUCAGAAGUGCGAAUGCUGACAUAAGUAACGAUAAAGCGGGUGAAAAGCCCGCUCGCCGGAAGACCAAGGGUUCCUGUCCAACGUUAAUCGGGGCAGGGUGAGUCGACCCCUAAGGCGAGGCCGAAAGGCGUAGUCGAUGGGAAACAGGUUAAUAUUCCUGUACUUGGUGUUACUGCGAAGGGGGGACGGAGAAGGCUAUGUUGGCCGGGCGACGGUUGUCCCGGUUUAAGCGUGUAGGCUGGUUUUCCAGGCAAAUCCGGAAAAUCAAGGCUGAGGCGUGAUGACGAGGCACUACGGUGCUGAAGCAACAAAUGCCCUGCUUCCAGGAAAAGCCUCUAAGCAUCAGGUAACAUCAAAUCGUACCCCAAACCGACACAGGUGGUCAGGUAGAGAAUACCAAGGCGCUUGAGAGAACUCGGGUGAAGGAACUAGGCAAAAUGGUGCCGUAACUUCGGGAGAAGGCACGCUGAUAUGUAGGUGAAGUCCCUCGCGGAUGGAGCUGAAAUCAGUCGAAGAUACCAGCUGGCUGCAACUGUUUAUUAAAAACACAGCACUGUGCAAACACGAAAGUGGACGUAUACGGUGUGACGCCUGCCCGGUGCCGGAAGGUUAAUUGAUGGGGUCAGCGCAAGCGAAGCUCUUGAUCGAAGCCCCGGUAAACGGCGGCCGUAACUAUAACGGUCCUAAGGUAGCGAAAUUCCUUGUCGGGUAAGUUCCGACCUGCACGAAUGGCGUAAUGAUGGCCAGGCUGUCUCCACCCGAGACUCAGUGAAAUUGAACUCGCUGUGAAGAUGCAGUGUACCCGCGGCAAGACGGAAAGACCCCGUGAACCUUUACUAUAGCUUGACACUGAACAUUGAGCCUUGAUGUGUAGGAUAGGUGGGAGGCUUAGAAGUGUGGACGCCAGUCUGCAUGGAGCCGACCUUGAAAUACCACCCUUUAAUGUUUGAUGUUCUAACGUUGACCCGUGAUCCGGGUUGCGGACAGUGUCUGGUGGGUAGUUUGACUGGGGCGGUCUCCUCCUAAAGAGUAACGGAGGAGCACGAAGGUUGGCUAAUCCUGGUCGGACAUCAGGAGGUUAGUGCAAUGGCAUAAGCCAGCUUGACUGCGAGCGUGACGGCGCGAGCAGGUGCGAAAGCAGGUCAUAGUGAUCCGGUGGUUCUGAAUGGAAGGGCCAUCGCUCAACGGAUAAAAGGUACUCCGGGGAUAACAGGCUGAUACCGCCCAAGAGUUCAUAUCGACGGCGGUGUUUGGCACCUCGAUGUCGGCUCAUCACAUCCUGGGGCUGAAGUAGGUCCCAAGGGUAUGGCUGUUCGCCAUUUAAAGUGGUACGCGAGCUGGGUUUAGAACGUCGUGAGACAGUUCGGUCCCUAUCUGCCGUGGGCGCUGGAGAACUGAGGGGGGCUGCUCCUAGUACGAGAGGACCGGAGUGGACGCAUCACUGGUGUUCGGGUUGUCAUGCCAAUGGCACUGCCCGGUAGCUAAAUGCGGAAGAGAUAAGUGCUGAAAGCAUCUAAGCACGAAACUUGCCCCGAGAUGAGUUCUCCCUGACUCCUUGAGAGUCCUGAAGGAACGUUGAAGACGACGACGUUGAUAGGCCGGGUGUGUAAGCGCAGCGAUGCGUUGAGCUAACCGGUACUAAUGAACCGUGAGGCUUAACCUU
RNAcentral lists this ribosomal RNA (1673 nucleotides) under Escherichia coli. RNAcentral describes it as "bacterial LSU rRNA". It matches the Rfam family "Bacterial large subunit ribosomal RNA", at positions 1272 to 2925 of the family's 2925-position model. The record is from RNAcentral. Lineage: Bacteria; Pseudomonadati; Pseudomonadota; Gammaproteobacteria; Enterobacterales; Enterobacteriaceae.